UGGGGAAUAUUGCACAAUGGGCGAAAGCCUGAUGCAGCAACGCCGCGUGAGUGAUGAAGGCCUUCGGGUUGUAAAGCUCUGUCUUUUGGGACGAUAAUGACGGUACCAAAGGAGGAAGCCACGGCUAACUACGUGCCAGCAGCCGCGGUAAUACGUAGGUGGCAAGCGUUGUCCGGAUUUACUGGGCGUAAAGGAUGCGUAGGCGGAUUUUUAAGUGAGAUGUGAAAUACCCGGGCUUAACUUGGGCGCUGCAUUUCAAACUGGGAAUCUAGAGUGCGGGAGAGGAGAAUGGAAUUCCUAGUGUAGCGGUGAAAUGCGUAGAGAUUAGGAAGAACACCAGUGGCGAAGGCGAUUCUCUGGACCGUAACUGACGCUGAGGCAUGAAAGCGUGGGUAGCAAACAGGAUUAGAUACCCUGGUAGUCCACGCCGUAAACGAUGAGUACUAGGUGUAGGAGGUAUCGACCCCUUCCGUGCCGCAGUUAACACAAUAAGUACUCCGCCUGGGAAGUACGAUCGC
This 518-nucleotide ribosomal RNA is filed under the name uncultured bacterium. Its description in RNAcentral is "partial 16S ribosomal RNA". It matches the Rfam family "Bacterial small subunit ribosomal RNA", at positions 355 to 889 of the family's 1533-position model. The record is from RNAcentral.